CUGCUUCUCAUGAACUUAUUUGGUCAUAAGUCGCUUUGUCGCGCCGGAGACGGCAGAGCAUCCCAAAACGACCCUAAACCCCUUAUCUCCUAUUCUAGUACUCUCUUCUUCUAAAACUCAAACAAUUUUCCAAAUCGAACCAAAAACCAUAAGAACCUUAAGUCCAAAAAAUGAACGGUUAGAUUAGGAGUUGUUAGUAAAAUGAAGUUGAGUUGAGGUUAUAAUGAGAUGUUAGAGAGUUAGUUUGUUUGACAAUUAAGUUAGUUGAUGUGGAUGAGUUGAAUUUGAAGGACAGGUGUGGUCAUGGAGUGAGCAUGACUUAGCUUGAAAACAACAUCACCAUAUCAUGUAAAGUUGGCAUGUUUGAUGGACAAGAAAAGUAGGGACACAUCAAGAAUCAUGGAGAAGUUUGAAGACUUGGAUGCAUAAGGAUCAGAGAACUUUGAGGAUGAAGGAAAAGUAAAACAGGGUUUAGGAUUAGGUAGUUUGACUUUGGUCAACUGCUUGACAAAAAAGCCAAUAGUUGACCAAAAGUCAACUCUAGGUUAAAUGAUAUAAAAUUUUGUGUAGAUUUUAAUUUGACUCUCUUGUAAUGAAA
Lathyrus oleraceus (garden pea) is the source of this 598-nucleotide long non-coding RNA. RefSeq lists it as uncharacterized. The transcript has 2 exons. NCBI's taxonomy places the organism in Eukaryota, Viridiplantae, Streptophyta, Magnoliopsida, Fabales, Fabaceae. The record is from RefSeq and is a predicted model, not a curated record.